This 71-nucleotide transfer RNA is filed under the name Cavia porcellus (domestic guinea pig). It matches the Rfam family "tRNA". From Rfam's summary of the family: Transfer RNA (tRNA) molecules are approximately 80 nucleotides in length. Their secondary structure includes four short double-helical elements and three loops (D, anti-codon, and T loops). The record is from Rfam by way of RNAcentral. Lineage: Eukaryota; Metazoa; Chordata; Mammalia; Rodentia; Caviidae.
UGGGAUUUAGCUCAGUGGUACAGCGCCUGCCUGACAAGUGUGAUGCCCUGAGUUCGAGUCCCAGUACCCAA